GUAGCUCAGUGGUAGAUAUCCCGCUUGAUAUGCGGGAAGAUCUGGGUUCGAUUCCCGGC
This 59-nucleotide transfer RNA is filed under the name Toxocara canis (dog roundworm). It matches the Rfam family "tRNA", at positions 7 to 64 of the family's 71-position model. Rfam says of the family: Transfer RNA (tRNA) molecules are approximately 80 nucleotides in length. Their secondary structure includes four short double-helical elements and three loops (D, anti-codon, and T loops). Further hydrogen bonds mediate the characteristic L-shaped molecular structure. tRNAs have two regions of fundamental functional importance: the anti-codon, which is responsible for specific mRNA codon recognition, and the 3' end, to which the tRNAs corresponding amino acid is attached (by aminoacyl-tRNA synthetases). tRNAs cope with the degeneracy of the genetic code in two manners: having more than one tRNA (with a specific anti-codon) for a particular amino acid; and 'wobble' base-pairing, i.e. permitting non-standard base-pairing at the 3rd anti-codon position. Lineage: Eukaryota; Metazoa; Nematoda; Chromadorea; Rhabditida; Toxocaridae. The record is from Rfam by way of RNAcentral.